This 117-nucleotide small nucleolar RNA is filed under the name Echinops telfairi (small Madagascar hedgehog). Its description in RNAcentral is "Small nucleolar RNA SNORA61 (ENSETEG00000025454.1)". The record is from RNAcentral. Lineage: Eukaryota; Metazoa; Chordata; Mammalia; Afrosoricida; Tenrecidae.
GCCCUCCAGACUCUUUACCCUCAGAUCUAAAUACUGGUCUUGAGUAGCUGCAAAAGGCAGAAAAGUAAAACUGAAGUGACUGGAGCCUUUCCAACGUACAAGUUCUUUCAAACAUAU